CUAAUAUCUGCUGUCAUAAAUAUCCUAGAGUCCAAAGCUCAGCAGUUUGUAGGAGGCAGAAGUGGAUUUAUCAGUCACUGUGCCAGUGCUUGCUUUCCCUUUAUGUAAGCUUCGCUCAACAUUCAAUCUGUCUUCAGGCAGCUGCCAAGAGGGGUUUCAAGUUCAGAGCUCCCAGUGGAAAGAAGAAAGUAAAGGCAGCUUGCACCAGGAUAGAACAGGUGACAGAUACCUCCUGGAAGAGGAGGCAAGGCAGGUUUCCAGGCCAGCUAUUACUCUGCUACCUAAUGAAUGACCUCCAGCUGCCCUUUGAAAAGCCAGC
Molecule: long non-coding RNA, 319 nt
Filed under: Numida meleagris (helmeted guineafowl)
Lineage: Eukaryota; Metazoa; Chordata; Aves; Galliformes; Numididae
Description: lncRNA (ENSNMEG00000021409.1)
Source: RNAcentral